Molecule: long non-coding RNA, 1810 nt
Filed under: Sus scrofa (pig)
Lineage: Eukaryota; Metazoa; Chordata; Mammalia; Artiodactyla; Suidae
Description: lncRNA (ENSSSCG00050025280.1)
Source: RNAcentral
UUCCUGUAGAGUAAAUGGUUGGGAGGAAGUUGCAUCAAGUAGUCUAGGAUCAGGAAAGAAUGAAAUGUUGGGAAUUAGAGUCCUUAAGAGUUAAGUUCGCCUCACUCAGUGACUCAUUCCACUUCUUUGUGCCUUAGUUCCCAUAACUGUCAAAUGAGGAUGAUAAUAUCUAUUUCAUGGAAUAAUUGUGAUGACUAAGUACAAUAUGUACGUGACCUGCUGAAUCUUUGAUGGCUUGACAAAUCAAUAUAUGUUCUCCUUUCUCUAAUUUGUUCUUAAUGAAAGUUUAGGGGCAGAGUAACUGUGAAUCUUAACAUUUCUAGUCCUAAAUAACUGAGGAAACAGCCAUAUCUGGUGUAAGUUGAUGUAUUUGGCCCAAGUGUCAUGGGGUGGUCUUUCUGGAUUGGAGUGGUCAGUCACUAACAAUGUUUAUAUUGUUUGUAAGAUACUCUGACACAUACUAAAGCAGGAGAUUCUAUAGCCCUGGCAAAUGUUUGACCAUCACACCAUCUCUAAAUGCUACAUUAGAAUGGCCACAUUCUAUUCUGACAGUGCUCUGCAAGUUCUACCUUUAUUAAUUUCUGUGCGGAUCACGAGUUCACCGUUUGGAGGAGAGGGAAGUGUAUGACAAAUCUUUACUUAUUGAUAUCUCCAGGAAGCAAAUAGAAAUUUUUGUAGAGUGGCCAAUUCAGGAAAAAAACAUGUUUAUAAGCCAUUGCUAUUUUGUUUUCUGAUUAAAAAAUAUGAAUAAAACAUGUGAAUGUCCUUAUAAUACUGAAAAGUACUGGGCAAACAUGACAUUCUCUUUUCACCUCUUUUGGUUUCCUGUUUCAGGUGAAGUUGGAACUGCCCAGUAAUUUCAUGGAUGAGUAUCUAAGGAAGUGAUAUCCCCCCCCCCAAGGGCACAAAGAUUUUUUUUGGGGGGAGGAAUGAAAAAUUUCGGCUCAUUAAGUACAUACAUACAUAUAAUAUGUAAACAGAUAUAUAUCUGAGGUAUUACAUUUUCAUGGAGGAGAUUUCAUGGGGAAGUGGCUAGGAAAUAUAUAUCUAAAGUGGUUCUUGGAGUUCCCAGGCUAGGGGUCUAAUCGGAGCUGUAGCCACCGGCCUACGCCAGAGCCACAGCAACGCGGGAUCCGAGCCGCGUCUGCAACCUACACCACAGCUCAUGGCAACGCCGGAUCGUUAACCCACUGAGCAAGGGCAGGGACCGAACCCGCAACCUCAUGGUUCCUAGUCGGAUUCGUUAACCACUGCGCCACGACGGGAACUCCUCCUUUCUUUUCUUACUGCUUUGGAAAUCUCAGUUUCAUACACUAAGUUGAUAUAUAUGCAAGGACUUGUUCCUACCUUAUCUAGCUGGUCAUAUGCCUAUCUCUACAUUUUCUUGUGACAAUAUUAUUCUCUAUUAAUUACUCUAAUUUCUUUGUUCUAUGAUAUGGUUGGAGCAUAUCUUCAAUCCAUGAUCCUUUUCCACACUUUUUGUUAAAAAGUUGUUGGUUUUUUUGUUUAUUUGUUUUUUGCUAGAAUGUGUUUUAAUUCAAAAUGAAAAUAGUUGUAUUGAGUUCUGGGAUUGGAUGAACAGGAAGGAGCAUGAAUGUUCUUAAGACUUUAUGUAACUGCAAAGAUGGCUAUAACUUGCACAAAUUCUCAUAGGAGAUUUCUGUAGCCAAUAAAAAUGUGUGUAUCUAAGCCUUUUUAGGAAGCAACUUAAAAGUAAUCUUUCAUUUAAAAAUUUAAAAAUUGUUUUAUUGAAAUAUGGUUAAUUUCCAGUGUUUUGUUAGUUUCUGCUGAAUAGCAAAGUGACUCAGUU